This 1009-nucleotide ribosomal RNA is filed under the name Paraburkholderia sediminicola. RNAcentral describes it as "bacterial SSU rRNA". It matches the Rfam family "Bacterial small subunit ribosomal RNA", at positions 60 to 1061 of the family's 1533-position model. The record is from RNAcentral. Lineage: Bacteria; Pseudomonadati; Pseudomonadota; Betaproteobacteria; Burkholderiales; Burkholderiaceae.
AGUCGAACGGCAGCACGGGGGCAACCCUGGUGGCGAGUGGCGAACGGGUGAGUAAUACAUCGGAACGUGUCCUGUAGUGGGGGAUAGCCCGGCGAAAGCCGGAUUAAUACCGCAUACGCUCUGCGGAGGAAAGCGGGGGAUCCUUCGGGACCUCGCGCUACAGGGGCGGCCGAUGGCAGAUUAGCUAGUUGGUGGGGUAAAGGCCUACCAAGGCGACGAUCUGUAGCUGGUCUGAGAGGACGACCAGCCACACUGGGACUGAGACACGGCCCAGACUCCUACGGGAGGCAGCAGUGGGGAAUUUUGGACAAUGGGCGAAAGCCUGAUCCAGCAAUGCCGCGUGUGUGAAGAAGGCCUUCGGGUUGUAAAGCACUUUUGUCCGGAAAGAAAACCUCCGCCCUAAUACGGUGGGGGGAUGACGGUACCGGAAGAAUAAGCACCGGCUAACUACGUGCCAGCAGCCGCGGUAAUACGUAGGGUGCAAGCGUUAAUCGGAAUUACUGGGCGUAAAGCGUGCGCAGGCGGUCCGCUAAGACAGAUGUGAAAUCCCCGGGCUUAACCUGGGAACUGCAUUUGUGACUGGCGGGCUAGAGUAUGGCAGAGGGGGGUAGAAUUCCACGUGUAGCAGUGAAAUGCGUAGAGAUGUGGAGGAAUACCGAUGGCGAAGGCAGCCCCCUGGGCCAAUACUGACGCUCAUGCACGAAAGCGUGGGGAGCAAACAGGAUUAGAUACCCUGGUAGUCCACGCCCUAAACGAUGUCAACUAGUUGUCGGGUCUUCAUUGACUUGGUAACGUAGCUAACGCGUGAAGUUGACCGCCUGGGGAGUACGGUCGCAAGAUUAAAACUCAAAGGAAUUGACGGGGACCCGCACAAGCGGUGGAUGAUGUGGAUUAAUUCGAUGCAACGCGAAAAACCUUACCUACCCUUGACAUGUAUGGAAUCCUGCCGAGAGGUGGGAGUGCCCGAAAGGGAGCCAUAACACAGGUGCUGCAUGGCUGUCGUCAGCUC